UAUUAAAAAUUUCAUCAAUUUUUAUUGUUAAAAACUAUGUGGCUAAUAAAAUAACCAGACAAUGACACAUGGUGUGCCACAUGAACCUCAUGUUGACGUAUACGGACCAGUUUUUAAUAGUACAAUUUAAUGAACUUUUUAGGA
Molecule: non-coding RNA, 144 nt
Organism: Gossypium raimondii (Peruvian cotton)
Lineage: Eukaryota; Viridiplantae; Streptophyta; Magnoliopsida; Malvales; Malvaceae
Source: Rfam